AUGAAGGGCCUCAUAGUUCGGCUGUGGCCUAAGGAAGCCAUGCCUGGGAGCUAUUUCGGGCUGGUGAGGCGGCUGGUGGACGCCUGUCCAUGGAUUGAAGUCAUCAAGCGCUUCGUCUGUAUCGAAGGUGCCCGUAGGGCCCUUGCCCGUGCUAAAGUGCAUUGGGGCAAGAUGGACACUGAGAAGCUUGUGAAGGAUGCUCCACCGCUGGGCAGGGAGUACCGCAAGCCCGAAAUGUAUUAUGUGGGCAUCCUGAAGGGUGCCCGCCUUAUAGCGGGUGAAUGCUCCAAAGAUGUAAUUUUUGAGUAA
Molecule: ribosomal RNA, 309 nt
Filed under: Triticum aestivum (bread wheat)
Lineage: Eukaryota; Viridiplantae; Streptophyta; Magnoliopsida; Poales; Poaceae
Description: partial small subunit ribosomal RNA
Source: RNAcentral